AAGAGAAGGGACUGUCUAGUUAGCCAAAGAGACUGCCUGAAACCGGGCCUGGACCUUGAAGGCACCCCGGCUCCCAGUAUUCAUGAACUUACACCGGAGCAGGCAAGUCAUCCUUGGCUACCAAACAAGACUCUUAUCU
Non-coding RNA from Punica granatum (pomegranate), 139 nucleotides. NCBI's taxonomy places the organism in Eukaryota, Viridiplantae, Streptophyta, Magnoliopsida, Myrtales, Lythraceae. The record is from Rfam.